This is a long non-coding RNA of Zophobas morio, 216 nucleotides long. RefSeq lists it as uncharacterized. The record is from RefSeq and is a predicted model, not a curated record. NCBI's taxonomy places the organism in Eukaryota, Metazoa, Arthropoda, Insecta, Coleoptera, Tenebrionidae. The transcript is spliced from 3 exons.
UUGUAUUUGCACUUUGUGGGCUGAGGAGACCCUUAUAUUAUCUUCAAAAUGAGUUGGUUCUAUCGGUUCGUAACACCUAAAAAAUUUAAGUUUUCUGAAUCCUUAAUAACUUUAACUGUCAGUUAUUGUGAAACCUCCACUUUAAAGUUUAUUGAACCAUUACUUGACAUAAAACACCUUUCCUUUUACAAAUAUAUGGAAAUUACUGACAUCGAC